Molecule: ribosomal RNA, 497 nt
Filed under: uncultured bacterium
Lineage: Bacteria
Description: partial 16S ribosomal RNA
Rfam family: Bacterial small subunit ribosomal RNA
Source: RNAcentral
GAUGAACGCUGGCGGCGUGCCUAAUACAUGCAAGUCGAGCGAACAGAUAAGGAGCUUGCUCCUUUGAAGUUAGCGGCGGACGGGUGAGUAACACGUGGGUAACCUACCUAUAAGACUGGGAUAACUUCGGGAAACCGGAGCUAAUACCGGAUAACAUUUAGAACCGCAUGGUUCUAUAGUGAAAGAUGGUUUUGCUAUCACUUAUAGAUGGAUCCGCGCCGUAUUAGCUAGUUGGUAAGGUAACGGCUUACCAAGGCGACGAUACGUAGCCGACCUGAGAGGGUGAUCGGCCACACUGGAACUGAGACACGGUCCAGACUCCUACGGGAGGCAGCAGUAGGGAAUCUUCCGCAAUGGGCGAAAGCCUGACGGAGCAACGCCGCGUGAGUGAUGAAGGGUUUCGGAUCGUAAAACUCUGUUAUUAGGGAAGAACAAAUGUGUAAGUAACUGUGCACAUCUUGACGGUACCUAAUCAGAAAGCCACGGCUAACUACGUG